Molecule: ribosomal RNA, 383 nt
Filed under: uncultured organism
Description: bacterial SSU rRNA
Rfam family: Bacterial small subunit ribosomal RNA
Source: RNAcentral
CGCAAUGGGCGAAAGCCUGACGGAGCGACGCCGCGUGAUUGAUGAAGUCCCUUCGGGACGUAAAGAUCUUUUGUAGGGGAAGAAGUUUAUUGACUGUACCCUAAGAAUAAGAGGCUCCUAAUCUCGUGCCAGCAGGAGCGGUAAUACGAGAGCCUCGAGCGUUAUCCGGAAUUAUUGGGCGUAAAGGGUGUGUAGGUUGUUCUGUUAGUCUUUUGUUAAAGCCCCGGGCUUAACCUGGGAAAGGCGAAAGAUACGGCAAAACUAGAAAGUGCGAGAGGUAUAUGGAACUCAUGGUGUAGGGGUGAAAUCCGUUGAUAUCAUGGGGAACACCAAAAGCGAAGGCAAUAUACUGGCGCAUAUUUGACACUGAAACACGAAAGCGU